AGUGAACGCUGGCGGUAGGCCUAACACAUGCAAGUCGAACGGCAGCACAGUAAGAGCUUGCUCUUACGGGUGGCGAGUGGCGGACGGGUGAGGAGUACAUCGGAAUCUACUUUUUCGUGGGGGCUAACGUAGGGAAACUUACGCUAAUACCGCAUACGACCUACGGUUGAAAGCAGGGGAUCUUCGGACCUUGCGCGAUUGAAUGAGCCGAUGUCGGAUUAGCUAGUUGGCGGGGUAAAGGCCCACCAAGGCGACGAUCCGUAGCUGGUCUGAGAGGAUGAUCAGCCACACUGGAACGGAGACACGGUCCAGACUCCUAAGGGAGGCAGCAGUGGGGAAUAUUCGACAAUGGGCGCAAGCCUGAUCCAGCCAUACCGCGUGGGUGAAGAAGGCCUUCGGGUUGUAAAGCACUUCUGUUGGGAAAGAAAAGCAGCAGGUUAAUACCCCGCUGUUCUGACGGUACCCAAAGAAUAAGCAACGGCUAACUUCGUG
RNAcentral lists this ribosomal RNA (492 nucleotides) under uncultured bacterium. Its description in RNAcentral is "partial 16S ribosomal RNA". It matches the Rfam family "Bacterial small subunit ribosomal RNA", at positions 29 to 507 of the family's 1533-position model. The record is from RNAcentral.